CCGGGCCAACACUUUGGAUUAAAGCGUAUUUUAUUUCGAUAAAUACUAUUUGAUAGCGUAAGAGUACCAUGGUAACUCUUGUUUAAAAAGUAUUGCUGAUUAAAAAGUAUUGCUCUGUGAUAAAGACAAAAAUCACUUGUAAGAUUAGUUAACAUUUCCUAAGCAGGAGCAAUUGCAAUACGUAAGAAGUUCUGUGUUUUACUAUUGGAGAGAUAAAACUAACAUCUGAUGCUUUUGCCACAUAAGUCUUGACGAGCAGUGUAUACUUACUAAUGGGUUGAAAGUUAUUGAUCUACAUUGCAAUAGAAUACAAUUCUAGAAAUUAAGAGGUCAAUAUACUUGUGCUUAUAGUCAUUCAACAACAAAGAUAACUUGGUGUUGCACUCGUUUAGCUUUUUUUGGUGCAACUAUGCAUUCCAAAUGUAAGUAUUUCUUACAAAGGCAUAAAAGAGUAUCUGUAGUGCAUAAAGCAAACAAUAAUAAUAGAAAAUCUAUAAAUACUGCAAAACAGCAGAAUAACCAUACUAUUAACUUUUGUUCUGUUUCAAUGGUAUGUAAAGAAAACUUGCCAAGUUGGUACCUUAUAGUUGUAACAACAAGUUCUUUUCAUUAGCCAAACCAAUUCCAUUCCAUGUCUUGAAAAAUUGAAAUCGUAUAUCGGAUAAACGAUUCAAUUGCAUUAUUGAUCCUGCUAUUAGCACAAACAUAGGCAGCUAUUACGCAUCCAUCAUAUACAUCUUUGGAGCCGUCAGCUCAAGUUGUAGUACAAUCUGCAUAUGCUCUUUCUUUUACGGUUAGAAUCAUGAGUAGUUCCUAAGCGAACUAUCUAUUCUAUUAUGGCCGACUUGGAGACAUCAGAGGAAGACCAUCAUCUCUAUCCAGGUACGUAGUUUCAUUCAUUCGUUGAACCUUGGGGGUCACCAUUAGCAUUGAGAGCGUUCAAAGAGUUGUAAAGAGAGAAUCAAAGCACUCAUAAGUAGACCUAUCUUCGAUAAAAAAAAACAUGUAAGCUACAUACAUGUCAUCACGAGAUAAAUUACUUGCUGAAAAGAAUAUACGAUAUCACAUGCUUGAGUAGCAUUAUUUACAUUUAAGAAACCACCCAUAAUAUAUAGCGACAAAAAACAGAAUUAAUCAGCUAGGAAAGAAGUUAUUUAAUUGGAUAUAUUAAAGAAAAGUGCAACCCAUGUUCUCCAGCUCAAGAGAAAGGUUUUAAAGUAAUCAUUGCAAUUCAUCUAAAUUUAAAUAUCUACAUUAUAUGCAAUGCAACAUAUGUUUCAUUUAUACUUGAAGCAGCGGUGCCCGAAUGCUGCUACUACAACAAAUCUAUCUUUUUUCAGGUGUAAGAAACAAAUUUUGUUAUUUGUUUCUCUUACCAAGUAACUGCAAUAGAAUCUAUGUAACCACAAGCAGAUUUCGAAUAUUGUUUGUAUAACAAGAAAAUAAGAUAGGGUAGUAGAACUCGAUGAAGUAAAACAGUGGCUACCAAAGAAAAGCUAUUGAACGACAGAUUCCCCGAUAGUAGUCAUCCAAGUCAAUCAUGAAUUCAUUUGGCAACAUUUAGCAUAAGUAACCUGAUAUUCACAGGGUGCUCCCACUUUGCAAUCUUAGUAGGGAGCAUUAAACAUAUUAGUGCAAAAGUCUUGGUCACAACUAACGGUUUUCCCAGUUGCUGAGGCUUUCAAUUCAUACAACGUUAAGUCUGUGUGUGGUAUAACAACAUAUAUGAGAAACUACUUGGAUGGACCAAGAAGAGAAAGUCAACAAAUUGAAUAUCUAUUCUCUUUGAGCAGGGAAGAUGUCACUUCCAGUCAAAAUUCACGGAGGCAGUAAUGGAGAAAGCCUCACCAGCGGCAUAUUGGCAAAACGAGAAUAGCUGGACUGAAAUUGAGGAAUAAAGCAGAAAAUAGUGAGGCCUGGGGGAAGAGACAACAGAAAGGUUACGCGGAAAAAGUUCAAAAAUUCUGUGCGUUGUUAUCUCAUAGACAGCAUGGUCAACCAACUUUAGCUACGUGUUGUUGUACGGAAGCACAGGGAAAUUUCUCAUAGCACAAAAGGCAAAUGAAAAUACCUAACUGCCUUCAUGUCGGCAAGCAGAUAAGUCCAGAGACGGAGCCAGAAUUUAAAGUUUAUGGGUUCAAAAUUCUUGACUGUUUAAGUUAGUGGAUUCUAUAUUAGUAAUUUAUAGAUAUUCAAUAAAUCUCUUAAAACAAAUAUAGGGUUUGAACAAAAGCUACUGAGUUCGGCUGAACCCGAAGCUCGUGCUCUAGCUCCGCCCCCGGAGAUGACAACGGUCUCCUGCUUGCUCAAGGGCUCUUCUAUAUAGUUAGAAUAAAGAGCAAUUCCAAUUUGCAAUGGCAAACUGAUGCAUUUUAUGAUUAAUAGAUCCUUAGCUUUCUCUAUCUUGACUAAAUUAGGGAACAACAGAAUACCAAGACGAUUUUAUGUUACUAUACUAUAACAAUGUUCAAACAAAAAUAAUGAUAAAGACUACAAAUGAAAGUGCCGAAGCAGGUCUUACAAUGAGAAUGUGUUUAACUUUGGGCCUAUUACUACAAGAAUUAUAAUCCUCUUUCUGGAUUAUUGAGGACGAAGCAGAUAAAAUUCCAAAUUUUAUCAAUUUCUCAAAUUCCCAAACCCUAGCACCAUCCACCAAUUUUUUUCCAAAAAGAAAUCCUAAUCGUACAAUACAUUACACAAAGACCAGCCCUUUCACACAGAAAAAUACAACACAUUACACAACUGAGAAAUCCCAUGAUACAGAGAAAUUAAGAGAGAUGUGAUCGAAUAGUAGAAAGGGUAACUAAUUGAGGAAAACUUAUAUUACCAAUUCUGGUACAACUCUUCUGAGUGAAACCCCUUGAUGCACAGAUUUGAGAGAAAGAAGAACAUUUACCCCUUGUUGCAGAAGAAGAGCAGGGGAAAAGUCCACGUGCUCUGCUAUUAAUACACUGACUCAGCAGAAGAGGCAAAGCCUACAACUUUUAGAGCUAUUUUACCUAUAUAAGUGGCUCUUUAAAUUGCCUGAGAAGCUGUCUUUAUUUACUAAAUUCUCUUGUGGCAUUCAACGUAAUAAUAUAGAAAAAUAGUGGCAAAAUUUUCUAGCCUAAGCAGUCAUGUUGAUGACGCUGACUCCUGAUGGAGCUCAACUGCCACUUCUAUAAUAAGAGAAAAAUUCUCUUGUGGCAUUCAACUUAAUAAUAUAGAAAAAUAGUGGCAAAAUUCUCUAGCCUAAGCAGGCAUGUUG
This 3247-nucleotide long non-coding RNA is filed under the name Nicotiana tabacum (common tobacco). RNAcentral describes it as "long non-coding RNA (NTAB_LNC006155)". The record is from RNAcentral. Lineage: Eukaryota; Viridiplantae; Streptophyta; Magnoliopsida; Solanales; Solanaceae.